AUCCCAUUUGCCUCAGGGCUGAGGUGACAUUUCAAUUACUGGUCUUUGCCGGAAGAAGGACCGCCUUUGGAUGCCCCCUUUGGAGACAGCUGCUUUGGACUUUAUCUUGCCCCAUUUCAUCA
This 122-nucleotide long non-coding RNA is filed under the name Cricetulus griseus (Chinese hamster). Its description in RNAcentral is "lncRNA (ENSCGRG00000025693.1)". The record is from RNAcentral. Lineage: Eukaryota; Metazoa; Chordata; Mammalia; Rodentia; Cricetidae.